UACGGGAGGCAGCAGGGGGGAAUAUUGCACAAUGGGCGAAAGCCUGAUGCAGCUAUGCCGCGUGUAUGAAGAAGGCCUUAGGGUUGUAAAGUACUUUCAUCGGGGAGGAAAAAACAAAACUAAUAAUUUUAUUUCUUGACGUUACCCGAAAAAGAAGCACCGGCUAACUCCGUGCCAGCAGCCGCGGUAAUACGGAGGGUGCUAGCGUUAAUCAGAAUUACUGGGCGUAAAGAGCACGUAGGUGGUUUUUUUAAAGUCAGAUGUGAAAUCCCUGGGCUUUAACCUAGGAACUGCAUUUUGAAACUGAAAUACUAGAGUAUCGUAGAGGGAGGUAGAAUUCUAGGUGUAGCGGUGAAAUGCGUAGAUAUCUGGAGGAAUACCUGUGGCGAAAGCGGCCUCCUAAACGAAUACUGACACUGAGGGUGCGAAAGCGUGGGGAGCAAACAGGGAUUAGAUACC
This 459-nucleotide ribosomal RNA is filed under the name uncultured bacterium. RNAcentral describes it as "bacterial SSU rRNA". It matches the Rfam family "Bacterial small subunit ribosomal RNA", at positions 340 to 786 of the family's 1533-position model. The record is from RNAcentral.